AGCGGCGGAUGGGUGAGUAACACGUGGGGAACCUGCCCCUAAGUCUGGGAUACCAUUUGGAAACAGGUGCUAAUACCGGAUAAUAAAGCAGAUCGCAUGAUCAGCUUUUGAAAGGCGGCGUAAGCUGUCGCUAAGGGAUGGCCCCGCGGUGCAUUAGCUAGUUGGUAAGGUAACGGCUUACCAAGGCGACGAUGCAUAGCCGAGUUGAGAGACUGAUCGGCCACAUUGGGACUGAGACACGGCCCAAACUCCUACGGGAGGCAGCAGUAGGGAAUCUUCCACAAUGGACGCAAGUCUGAUGGAGCAACGCCGCGUGAGUGAAGAAGGUUUUCGGAUCGUAAAGCUCUGUUGUUGGUGAAGAAGGAUAGAGGUAGUAACUGGCCUUUAUUUGACGGUAAUCAACCAGAAAGUCACGGCUAACUACGUGCCAGCAGCCGCGGUAACACGUAGGUGGCAAGCGUUGUCCGGAUUUAUUGGGCGUAAAGCGAGCGCAGGCGGAAAAAUAAGUCUAAUGUGAAAGCCCUCGGCUUAACCGAGGAACUGCAUCGGAAACUGUUUUUCUUGAGUGCAGAAGAGGAGAGUGGAACUCCAUGUGUAGCGGUGGAAUGCGUAGAUAUAUGGAAGAACACCAGUGGCGAAGGCGGCUCUCUGGUCUGCAACUGACGCUGAGGCUCGAAAGCAUGGGUAGCGAACAGGAUUAGAUACCCUGGUAGUCCAUGCCGUAAACGAUGAGUGCUAAGUGU
This 743-nucleotide ribosomal RNA is filed under the name uncultured bacterium. RNAcentral's name for it is "bacterial SSU rRNA". It matches the Rfam family "Bacterial small subunit ribosomal RNA", at positions 94 to 823 of the family's 1533-position model. The record is from RNAcentral.